CAGUGGGGUCAUUGCACGUAGUAACGGCGAGUGAAGCGGCAAAAGCUCAGAUUUGAAAUCUGGCACCUUCAGUGUCCGAGUUGUAAUUUGAAGAAGGUAACUUUGGAGUUGGCUCUUGUCUAUGUUCCUUGGAACAGGACGUCACAGAGGGUGAGAAUCCCGUGCGAUGAGAUGCCCAAUUCUAUGUAAAGUGCUUUCGAAGAGUCGAGUUGUUUGGGAAUGCAGCUCUAAGUGGGUGGUAAAUUCCAUCUAAAGCUAAAUAUUGGCGAGAGACCGAUAGCGAACAAGUACAGUGAUGGAAAGAUGAAAAGAACUUUGAAAAGAGAGUGAAAAAGUACGUGAAAUUGUUGAAAGGGAAGGGCUUGAGAUCAGACUUGGUAUUUUGCGAUCCUUUCCUUCUUGGUUGGGUUCCUCGCAGCUUACUGGGCCAGCAUCGGUUUGGAUGGUAGGAUAAUGACUAAGGAAUGUGGCUCUACUUCGGUGGAGUGUUAUAGCCUUGGUUGAUACUGCCUGUCUAGACCGAGGACUGCGUCUUUUGACUAGGAUGUUGGCAUAAUGAUCUUAAGCCACCCGUCUUAAAAGGGGAACCCAAAAAAAAUUUGGGGGGGGGGGGGGGGGGGGGGGCCCGGGCGGCCCCGGCAAGGGAGGAGAGGAAGGGGAGAAGUUUGGG
RNAcentral lists this ribosomal RNA (670 nucleotides) under Debaryomyces hansenii. Its description in RNAcentral is "partial large subunit ribosomal RNA". The stretch from base 1 to 584 matches the Rfam family "Eukaryotic large subunit ribosomal RNA", at positions 66 to 664 of the family's 3401-position model. The record is from RNAcentral. Lineage: Eukaryota; Fungi; Ascomycota; Pichiomycetes; Serinales; Debaryomycetaceae.